This 322-nucleotide ribosomal RNA is filed under the name uncultured bacterium. RNAcentral describes it as "bacterial SSU rRNA". It matches the Rfam family "Bacterial small subunit ribosomal RNA", at positions 591 to 909 of the family's 1533-position model. The record is from RNAcentral.
GGUGUGAAACCUCCAGGCUCAACCUGGAGCCGCCAUUCGAUACUGCCAUGGCUAGAGUUUGGUAGGGGACCACGGAACUCCUGGUGUAGCGGUGAAAUGCGCAGAUAUCAGGAAGAACACCAGCGGCGAAGGCGGUGGUCUGGGCCAAUACUGACGCUGAGGAGCGAAAGCGUGGGGAGCGAACAGGAUUAGAUACCCUGGUAGUCCACGCCGUAAACGUUGGGCACUAGGUGUGGGGACCUAUCGACGGUUUCUGUGCCGCAGCUAACGCAUUAAGUGCCCCGCCUGGGGAGUACGGCCGCAAGGCUAAAACUCAAAGGAA